UUGAGUUUGUAUCGAAUAAUUGUUAUAUUUGAUAAAUAUAAUCAGCGAUUAAUCUUUAACUUUUAACAAGGAUGUUGAAAAGAAAAUCGUAUAACUUUUUGUUUUAAUAAAUAUAUAAAUAUCUUGUACGGUUGUAAAAUCAAAAAUUUUUGUUCAGAAACUGGAAUUAAAUUCACGGGAGCGACAAAUUUGAUCUAUUAUUUUGCCAAAAUUCAAGAUUACCAACAUUCAAUUCGUCACACUAAUCAUGGUGUCAACGGCCUUUCAGCCGUUUUAUUUUUAUAACAACCGUUAUUAAGGUUAGGUUAUAACUUUCUUUUCUAACCGCGUUGAAUCGCUAGGACGAUCGUUGAUCAUCGCUUAUAUUCGUCGCCCACGCUCUUUACGUGACUAUUCAUCUUUGUAACCUGUCGUUCAAUUUUCACGAUCCCAGAUUUCACUCUAUUCACGGUGAAUUAAUUUUACUUUGUAUCAUUAACGUGGAAAAGUACAGUGUAUCGACAUAACCUCUAAUACCGGAACUCGUACCAACCUCAAAACGAUGAAUUUUAGGUUUUCAUCUUUGAGAGAACAAAUACACUUUCGUUCUAUUUUUAUAUUCGUUCGAUCGUUUAUGCGUAGAAUUAUAUUUUAGACUAUAUUUAAAACUAGUAAUAUUAGCUUCCAUGCUUUCAACUUCACUUUCGCCUUUAUAAAAACAGAAGAGACAACAUGAGAAUCUAGGCAGAGAAAAUAUAGGGUGCUAAACAUAGCUACCCUUUUUUGAAUUGUCGGCACCGUACAAAACUUGACUCUGAGAUGCAGUUCCAUUUUAGAACUUGUUUCGCUUCUUACGUCUCGUUAAGACAGGUUCAAACACGCGACUCGAUGCUAGAUACGCACUUCGCGACCUCUCACGGUACGGUUUCCAUAUCGAAUUGUCUUUCGCCUCGAUGAUUACUUUCUUGACGCGAUCGCGUGCCCAACGCUCAUUCGACGAACGUGCGACAUCCGAUGCGAGUGUGUCAAUGACUGGUGAAAGGUAUCAAUGGAUUUUCCUCUACUGACCCACGACAAGGAACUUUCAAUCUCUAGUCACCUACACGACGAUUACGUGCUUCCACUUACAUAAUCGACGCAAGGCUAUGGUGGAGAAGAUCUAACUAUAAAAGGCGUCUAAUAAAUCUCGAUUAACGCGAUCACAGUGGCAAUGAAAAGUGAAAUUCCCUAUAAAUUUAUGAUAUCAUUAAAGCUGUCUCAUAAGUGAAAGUAUUUUCUUUUAAUGAAUAUUCCAUUCGAUAUUUGAUAUUUCAUUUUUGAUUUUCAAUGUAAUUUUUAUAAAAUGCCGAUAAUUCUAUUUAAAAACAUUUGUUUACACUGAUAAUGAAUUUGUAAACUGAACUCUCAAGCGAUGCAUGAUUUAUUUUUUGUAAAGUUAGGUUAACUCGAUGAGUUUAUAUUAUUGCAGAUUUCAAGACUUGAAAAUUAAACUAACUAAAACAAAA
This is a long non-coding RNA of Apis cerana (Asiatic honeybee), 1484 nucleotides long. RefSeq lists it as uncharacterized. NCBI's taxonomy places the organism in Eukaryota, Metazoa, Arthropoda, Insecta, Hymenoptera, Apidae. The record is from RefSeq and is a predicted model, not a curated record.